RNAcentral lists this ribosomal RNA (456 nucleotides) under uncultured bacterium. RNAcentral describes it as "bacterial SSU rRNA". It matches the Rfam family "Bacterial small subunit ribosomal RNA", at positions 340 to 786 of the family's 1533-position model. The record is from RNAcentral.
UACGGAAGGCAGCAGUGGGGAAUAUUGCACAAUGGGCGAAAGCCUGAUGCAGCUAUGCCGCGUGUAUGAAGAAGGCCUUAGGGUUGUAAAGUACUUUCAUCGGGGAGGAAAAACAAAACUAAUAAUUUUAUUUCUUGACGUUACCCGAAAAAGAAGCACCGGCUAACUCCGUGCCAGCAGCCGCGGUAAUACGGAGGGUGCUAGCGUUAAUCAGAAUUACUGGGCGUAAAGAGCACGUAGGUGGUUUUUUUAAAGUCAGAUGUGAAAUCCCUGGGCUUAACCUGGAACUGCAUUUUGAAACUGAAAUACUAGAGUAUCGUAGAGGGAGGUAGAAUUCUAGGUGUAGCGGUGAAAUGCGUAGAUAUCUGGAGGAAUACCUGUGGCGAAAGCGGCCUCCUAAACGAAUACUGACACUGAGGUGCGAAAGCGUGGGGAGCGAAACAGGGAUUAGAUACC